AACAGAUUGCAAGUUGGUGUCUUUAAUAGCUUAUUAGCUAAUCCAAAUUCUGACGGAGCUUGCAAUCUGUUUAGAUGGUUACAGGGUACCUAAGUAACUUGUGGAAUUUGUAUGAUAGGAUAGGUUAUAUUGUAUUUUGUAU
Maniola jurtina (meadow brown) is the source of this 142-nucleotide long non-coding RNA. RefSeq lists it as uncharacterized. The transcript has 3 exons. NCBI's taxonomy places the organism in Eukaryota, Metazoa, Arthropoda, Insecta, Lepidoptera, Nymphalidae. The record is from RefSeq and is a predicted model, not a curated record.